CCUACGGGAGGCAGCAGGGAGGAAUAUUGGUCAAUGGCCGGAAGGCUGAACCAGCCAUGCCGCGUGAAGGGCAGGGGCCUAGGGGCGGGAAACGUCGUUUGGGCGGGAGCAAGAAUGGUCACGUGUGGCCAGACGAGAGGACCGUACGAAGAAGCAGCGGCGAACUCCGGGCCAGCAGCCGCGGUAAUACGGGGGAUGCAAGCGUUAUCCGGAUUUAUUGGGGUUCAAGGGGGCGUAGGCUGUGAGGUAAGUCAGCGGGGAAAUGCCCCCGCUCAACGGGGUGAAGUGCCAUUGAUACUGCCUUCCUGGAUUGCGGCUGCCGUGGGCGGCAUGUGUGUUGUAGCGG
RNAcentral lists this ribosomal RNA (346 nucleotides) under uncultured bacterium. RNAcentral describes it as "partial 16S ribosomal RNA". It matches the Rfam family "Bacterial small subunit ribosomal RNA", at positions 338 to 681 of the family's 1533-position model. The record is from RNAcentral.